Molecule: long non-coding RNA, 5250 nt
Filed under: Capsicum annuum
Lineage: Eukaryota; Viridiplantae; Streptophyta; Magnoliopsida; Solanales; Solanaceae
Description: long non-coding RNA (CANN_LNC018284)
Source: RNAcentral
GCGACAAGGAAGCAGGUGAAAUUUAACUCGAAUAGAGGGAAUCGUCAAGUUUCAACUAAACCAACAUUAUCGGUAAUGCAAACAUUCCAAUUAUAGCAAUGAAGCUACACGGCAAAGAUUGAUCGAAGCCGACAUAGGUCGCCUACGUAUCCCGUUCUUGGAAAUUCAGGUCAAACGUAGUUCAUAGAUAAACUCAUAAUGGCCCUAAAAAUACUCUUAUCCACCUUACUAGGGUAUAAAUAAGUACUUCUAUGGAUGAUAUGACAUUUGCAUUGCGUUUGUCUUGAUAGAACAAAGUAUCAAAUGUCCAAUGGAGUCAUCGCCUUCCUAGUUAACCACCCCGGUUUCCUCUAGAUUAGGCUUCUUUGAUUCUCGAACUCUUUAACUCUUCUGUUGACUGUUCUAGGCUAUCAUUAUUUUGCUUCUUGACAUGACAUGAUAAAGGCAAGUUUUAAGUUACUGUUAUACGACGGGUGAUGAGUCAUGAGUGGAGUGGAGGUCCAAUUCAACAAUGUUUCCUCCAAUUAAUCUUCCAUGAUCCCGAUUGUCUUGGAAAAUUCUUCCCUUAUAUUUUUCUUGUUCCAUCCUCGAGACCAUCACUUACAGGGUUGAAAAAUGAUUGGUAGAGUCUAGUUUUACUACUAGUCAUUUUUCUUUUCCUGUAACGAAGCGAUAGUCAAGAAGGGGAUCUCUUAUUCAUUUUGAUCUGGUGAAGUAGGGUUAUUUUGUACCAACACAGAGUAGUUUCUAUUACCUGCAAAGUAAAAAUAACUCAAAUGAUGACGUGUUAGAUUCCGUUAGUAAUAAGUAAAGCAAGAUGAUAAGGUAGGAAGCAAACAUGUAGAGUUGUUUCUCAUCUCAUGCGAAUUGAUCCAUAAAGUAAUGAUGACUUGGGGAUUUUAAUGAACAGGAUAUUGCUCAAUGAUAUGGAUAGGUGGAAUUUAUUGGGAAGAUUCAACUCUUCUUCCUUCAAGAAAGUGGAGGACAACAUAGCUUUUGGAGAUAUGGGCCGGGGCGAAAGGCUGCCUAUGUAUCUCACGAAGGAGAAAUCAGGCCCUGCGUAGUUCGAACUAUAAUGGCAUUUUCUGAUUCUAAAGUCAACUUUCCUAAAAUGGUAGCGAUUAUUUUGGAAGUUUUGAGAAUAAGUACGGACUUUUUUGAGAAACUUGGGAGACUUGGAGUACUUUUGGUCGAACUUUUGUAUAGCCGGUAUGUUUCUGCCUAGAGAUGUUCUAUGAAAAAUGGGAUUGGAUCAUUUCACCUUUGAUUCGAAUCAACACAACACGUAUAAGCACAUAAACAGUUAUAUUACACAAGCAUAUUGUAAUAAAAGUGCAUCCUAAUUAUGUGACCCAUUUGAGCCAAGGGUUUAGGCCUAAGAAAUUUUGAAGAAAAUAUACGCCUUUUAAAAGAUAAUCCAUUAUCCCCAUAAACCUUCAUAGGUAUACCUAAAUGAUUUAAAUGUCUACAAAAGUUGUACAAAAGAGAUACAAUCUUUAGGGAAAGGGAAUAAUAUACCACGCAGGGGAUACUAAUUACUGAAUGCUUCUUCUAUCGGCGUUCGCGCUUUUAGCUUUGUCCACUCCUCAUUAUUGGAAACAUCCGUUAAUGAUCAAGCGAUUGAUGCAUCCUUAUACAAAAAUGAGUAAAACAAGUCUUCUCCCGACCCCAAAGGAUAAAGGAUUGGAUUAAACAAACAUAUAUUUAUUCAACACAUAAAUAUGAUUUGUCUGUAAUUGNNNNNNNNNNNNNGAAAGCUUUCUAAUGGGUCCAAUACCCCUUUCGAGUAUUAGGUCGUCCUAGGCUCAUGCCUAAAUAGGAUUUUGGUUUCAUUCUAUCCUAGGUGUCUAGAGUGGGUCUGAACACUGGUUCUCAAGACGACAACUUGAGUUUGAAAAUACGAAUUGCCAUUAGACGACUCACGUGCUAAUAAGCCGUUCGUAUUUCAACACAUUUUUGAAAUUGAACAACAGGGGCCGAGACAUCUACGAAACCCAAAACAGUCUAAAUAACGCAAGAAUAUGCCAUGAGAUACGAUAGUUAAACUUUACAUAAUCGAAACAUAUAAACACAUAGGCAGUUAAUUGAAAGACGAAAUCAUUUAGUUAGAACCUAGUUAAAGAUUCACAACUGAGUCGUCAUUUCUGUUUUGCGGAAUUUUUUACUUUUGAAAGUGUCGCCACUUAAUUUUGAAAAGGAAUUAAAAACCUUUAUAAAACACUUUAAACGAUCUAAAACAAAAAAAUCGUUUAAGUUAAGAAAUUCUAAGUAAGCGCUUCCUAUUAACGUUUUAGGAAGGUGUUAGGCACCUAAAACGUCCGCUAAAUUGCAAUUAUCCAAACUAUUUGAAAAUCGUCUUUUGAUUAACUUUGGAAAAUCGAUUUGUUGAAAAAGAAUUGGAUUAAGAAAAAGGAUUUCGCGAAAUCAAUUUUUUAGAGACUUAGUUAGGGAUUUAACUAGGUUCGCAAAGAAACAAGCAAACAAGUAAAUGAAAAGGGAAUAAGCGGGAAAGUAAUGAUUUAGGCUUUUAAGCCCAAACCACCCUGGUCUAAUCUAGUUGGGCUUUCGACCCAUUUGCACCUGUCUUGAUUCUAUGUUUUCGAGCCUUUAGCUCGAGUCUCGCUCCACCUGUAUUAAAUACAACCUUGGCUUCGUGGCCCGAAUAAAUAAAUAAGAAAGUAAAUAAAUAAAUAAAGACGAUAAUAAGUAAAUAAACAAAUAACAAAUGAGCCUUUUUUUUUUUUUUUGGUCUUGUAGCCGCUUCAAAUGUGGAACUUUAACCCAAUCUUCGCCCUUUGAUUGCAUGUAUUUAUAUUGUGCCAUAAGAUUGAUGUAAUCAAUUUUAUGUCCUCUAAAGGGUGGGCCUCCGUGGCCCAUUGCGUAAUGCAAAGAAAAAGAGCUCAAUUGGACUCCCAAGAUAGUUCAUGCAAAAAAAAAAAUAAAAAAAAUUAAUAUCUCUCCGAAACGCCACGUGACAUAAUGCGGGAACAAAUGGCCCAAGGUUUCGAGAGUUAAAAAAAACGAUACAAAGCAACACACAUCUUUUAACAUAAUAUAAACAUUAACUUACGUGACAAGGAAGCAGGUGAAAUUUAACUCUAAUAGAGGGAAUCGUCAAGUUUCAACUAAACCAACAUUAUCGGUAAUGCAAACAUUCCAAUUACAGCAAUGAAGCUACACGGCAAAGAUGGACAAGAUAAAUAAAUCGGGCAACAAAUAAGAGAAAUAUCACUGGAGAAGAAAACAAUAAGUGAAAACAAGAUUCUAAUAACAAAGAUGUACCAAAAUGAUAGAACUAGAUUAGGAAAAUUUCACCUUAUCAAACUUAUUAGCUUGCAACUAUGAUUCAACCAAAUGUAACUUCUCUUUAAUUAAGAAGGGGAAAAUAGGGAGAAGAAAGCAAAACAGUUCAGACAAGCAGAUUACUCAAUCAUAUAAUGAAUUAAAGGAUCAUAGCAUAAUGUAAUCAACUAAUAAUCUUGAAUCACCACAAAGCAACACCAAACUAGAACAUGGGAUUAGAUUUUCAACCGAGACUUGAAACGUGAGGAUACAGAUAAUGGGUCAAAUUUAAUUUUAUCGAUAAAUUAAAUAAACUGCAAUCCAAACUUUUGGAUAGGAACAAAAAUUUGAGGCAAAAGAAACAUUUAAUUAUGAAAAGAAAUAUUUUUGUUCACUUGACAUAAUGUUAAAGAAAGGAAACUUUCAGCUACAGGGGGUAUCACGAUAGGUUUUUACAGCAACUAAGCAACACAAACAUCAACUCAUUCGUAGAAGAACAAUAAAACUAGCAUUGUGACACUGGGAUACAAAGCAAUUAGUCAGAUACUAGCAACUUGGACCCUAAUGUUGAAAUACAAAAUAAUAUGUUGAUGACUUAACAAAAUCCACGUUGCAGUGAGUUUGAAGGCAAAACUGAGCACCAACUAUGAGACGAAAGCACUGAUUUAGUAGCUCAGCGGAUGAAAGGAAAAAAUCGUACAUAGAAUUUUCACCAAAAUCAAAGUUAACACCAAAUGAUGAUUGAGAUCCAACGAUAGAAAGUGUUCACAUAAACAGAGACCUAAAAAACAUAUUCAUGAUAUACAGAUGCCUAAAACAUUAACAGCUAACAAAUAACAUUACCAUGAGACAGUAAGCUUCAAACCAUCGAGUUGAAACAUACGAGAUUGACGAUUAAUCGAAAAGUUACGAUACAAACAGCGAUGCAACAAACAACUCAGCGACAAUCAUCACAAGUAAAUCCUAUAACCAUCAAAGCCAUCUACAGCAAGAAACCCAGCCUCAUUCAUCGACAAACAAAUAACGAUUUCUACGAAGAGAGAGGGAUGAAGAAGAAAACGAUAAGUUAAAAGGGGCGAGGGUAGGUUUACCUCCUUUGUGGCAGCAAAGCGGGACUCGAGCUAUCAGCAAAAUCGUCCCUAGUAGGAGAUUAUGUUGUCGACUUGGGAACUCUCAAUCAAUCGACUAGCUUCCCAGGAAGAAAAAAAAAAUGGAUGAGAAAACUUUUUUCAAAACAAACUCUUUACUUUCGGAGUUCCCAACCCCAAAUUUUGAACUAGCCUGAAGUUUUCUCCUUUAAACUCUUUCGAACCUUCGUCUCUAACCUUUCACCUUAGAGCUUCGACCCUCGAAUUUCCAAAGAAAAGAAAAAAAGAACCCCCAAAAUCUCCAACUUUUGUAGACUGCCAAGGAAUCGAACCCCUAGAAUUUUACCCAAACUUUCAAACCCUUCAAAGAAGAGAAAAAAUCUGAACCCCCCCUCUAAAACUGCGACCUGAUCUCUUCUUAUAUAGAAGAUGGAAACUCAAGGGUAUCUUAGGGAUUUUUCAAAGGGAAUUUGAAAUUCAAAACCCAUGGGAUCCCCCGAAUCGUCCCCGAUUUGGAUUUUUCCACAAAUUUGAAACCCCAUGGACCAAUCAAAUGCGGGAGGACAAAAUGUACCCAAGAACCAAUGAAAAUUUUCCAAAUAUGUACGAAUCCGUACGGGUUAUCCCAAAAUUUGCGGGAUUGGAUCGUUGGGAGGUAACACCUAGCUUGUUCUAGAAGGUUUCUUGGCGUCCUUUCAUACACAUCAGUGUAGAACGCGCGAGAGAGGAAAAAGCAAGUCGUUUGGAAUCAAUUUAGGGUUUAAAAUCGGGUCUAGAAUAGGUUGACAUUUGUUGGUGAUGUACGCCAUUUUUGGCUGCUUCUUGGCAUUGGAGACCCGUUCUUUGUUGAUUAAAGGAGAAAGGGGAAUUUUUGAUGGUG